GGAGAGUUCGCCUAGAGGUCUAUGGCACUUGCUUGGAGUGCAAGCGGGUUAAUAGCCCACGAGGGUUCGAAUCCCUCACUCUCCG
This 85-nucleotide transfer RNA is filed under the name Candidatus Falkowiibacteriota bacterium. Its description in RNAcentral is "tRNA-Ser". It matches the Rfam family "tRNA". From Rfam's summary of the family: Transfer RNA (tRNA) molecules are approximately 80 nucleotides in length. Lineage: Bacteria; Candidatus Falkowiibacteriota. The record is from RNAcentral.